AAAUUGAAGAGUUUGAUCAUGGCUCAGAUUGAACGCUGGCGGCAGGCCUAACACAUGCAAGUCGAACGGUAACAGGAAACAGCUUGCUGUUUCGCUGACGAGUGGCGGACGGGUGAGUAAUGUCUGGGAAACUGCCUGAUGGAGGGGGAUAACUACUGGAAACGGUAGCUAAUACCGCAUAACGUCGCAAGACCAAAGAGGGGGACCUUCGGGCCUCUUGCCAUCGGAUGUGCCCAGAUGGGAUUAGCUAGUAGGUGGGGUAACGGCUCACCUAGGCGACGAUCCCUAGCUGGUCUGAGAGGAUGACCAGCCACACUGGAACUGAGACACGGUCCAGACUCCUACGGGAGGCAGCAGUGGGGAAUAUUGCACAAUGGGCGCAAGCCUGAUGCAGCCAUGCCGCGUGUAUGAAGAAGGCCUUCGGGUUGUAAAGUACUUUCAGCGGGGAGGAAGGGAGUAAAGUUAAUACCUUUGCUCAUUGACGUUACCCGCAGAAGAAGCACCGGCUAACUCCGUGCCAGCAGCCGCGGUAAUACGGAGGGUGCAAGCAUUAAUCGGAAUUACUGGGCGUAAAGCGCACGCAGGCGGUUUGUUAAGUCAGAUGUGAAAUCCCCGGGCUCAACCUGGGAACUGCAUCUGAUACUGGCAAGCUUGAGUCUCGUAGAGGGGGGUAGAAUUCCAGGUGUAGCGGUGAAAUGCGUAGAGAUCUGGAGGAAUACCGGUGGCGAAGGCGGCCCCCUGGACGAAGACUGACGCUCAGGUGCGAAAGCGUGGGGAGCAAACAGGAUUAGAUACCCUGGUAGUCCACGCCGUAAACGAUGUCGACUUGGAGGUUGUGCCCUUGAGGCGUGGCUUCCGGAGCUAACGCGUUAAGUCGACCGCCUGGGGAGUACGGCCGCAAGGUUAAAACUCAAAUGAAUUGACGGGGGCCCGCACAAGCGGUGGAGCAUGUGGUUUAAUUCGAUGCAACGCGAAGAACCUUACCUGGUCUUGACAUCCACAGAACUUUCCAGAGAUGGAUUGGUGCCUUCGGGAACUGUGAGACAGGUGCUGCAUGGCUGUCGUCAGCUCGUGUUGUGAAAUGUUGGGUUAAGUCCCGCAACGAGCGCAACCCUUAUCCUUUGUUGCCAGCGGUCCGGCCGGGAACUCAAAGGAGACUGCCAGUGAUAAACUGGAGGAAGGUGGGGAUGACGUCAAGUCAUCAUGGCCCUUACGACCAGGGCUACACACGUGCUACAAUGGCGCAUACAAAGAGAAGCGACCUCGCGAGAGCAAGCGGACCUCAUAAAGUGCGUCGUAGUCCGGAUUGGAGUCUGCAACUCGACUCCAUGAAGUCGGAAUCGCUAGUAAUCGUGGAUCAGAAUGCCACGGUGAAUACGUUCCCGGGCCUUGUACACACCGCCCGUCACACCAUGGGAGUGGGUUGCAAAAGAAGUAGGUAGCUUAACCUUCGGGAGGGCGCUUACCACUUUGUGAUUCAUGACUGGGGUGAAGUCGUAACAAGGUAACCGUAGGGGAACCUGCGGUUGGAUCACCUCCUUACCUUAAAGAAGC
RNAcentral lists this ribosomal RNA (1554 nucleotides) under Escherichia coli. RNAcentral's name for it is "bacterial SSU rRNA". It matches the Rfam family "Bacterial small subunit ribosomal RNA". Lineage: Bacteria; Pseudomonadati; Pseudomonadota; Gammaproteobacteria; Enterobacterales; Enterobacteriaceae. The record is from RNAcentral.